Molecule: non-coding RNA, 27 nt
Filed under: Homo sapiens (human)
Lineage: Eukaryota; Metazoa; Chordata; Mammalia; Primates; Hominidae
Source: RNAcentral
UGUCAUGAUUGAUGCAGGAAACAGAUU